Molecule: non-coding RNA, 899 nt
Organism: Parasteatoda tepidariorum (common house spider)
Lineage: Eukaryota; Metazoa; Arthropoda; Arachnida; Araneae; Theridiidae
Source: RefSeq, a predicted model, not a curated record
UUUUUUACAUGAUUUUAAAGUUUGUAAUUUUACAUAACAGAAUACAAAAUUUGCAUGAAAUCGACUGACUAGUGCCUAAGAAAUCGAAUUUUAAAUAUCUGACUUUUUGAAAUUCAUUUAGUUUAGCAUCAAUAAUAGUUUGACAGUUUUGUAGACCUUUAAAAAAAGUACCAAUAUUAGUUUGCCAAAAAUGAUAAUGAAAGUAUUAGCCUCAGUCAUUACUAGUUAUUUUAAUAUUAUUAUGCAUAUAAAUUUGAUCAUAGGUACAAAUUGAAAUUUAAAAAAAUGCGUUAAAAUGCUAAAUUGAUGGAGAAAAUGUACUAUUUAUACAUGAGAACCUUAAAAAAAAUUGGCCUUCUGUAAUAGGUAUUACUUUUAUUAUGUUAAUUGGAGUUGUCAUUUUUUUUAACUACCAAUUCAAUAUACCAAUAUUGGUACUAAAAUACCUACUACAGAUACUAUAGAAACAGAACAAAAUAAGAAAAAAAAUAGACUAAUAAAAAAAAUUUAAAUUAUCUAUUCUUUCAUAAAAAAUUUUGUAUUUUUUAUAAAAAGAAAAAUUUAAUUAAAAAAUUAUUUGUCUUUCUUUUGUAGAAUGGUGUUUUAACUGUUACACUUAAUCAUCAUGGCUCAUACGUUUUGAAUAAACAAUCACCUAAUAAACAGAUUUGGUUAUCCUCUCCUAUUAGUGGACCCAAAAGAUAUGAUUAUAUUGAUGAAAAAUGGAUUUAUAAACGCGAUGGAAUUUCAUUGUGCAGGAUUUUAUCAGAAGAAAUGUCAAAUAUUUUACAAGAAGAAACAAACUUUGAGGAUUGCUUAUAAAUUUUUCUGUUAUGUGUUCAAACUACAACUAAUAAGUGGUUAUUUUUAGGUAUAUCAAUAAAUUUUGUUGAACUGUU